GACGAACGCUGGCGGCGUGCCUAAUACAUGCAAGUCGAGCGAAGCGGCUGAUGGGUUAGCAACGCGUGGGUAACCUGCCCUUAAGUCUGGGAUACCUUUUGGAAACAGCUGCUAAUACCGGAUACUAAUGGAUGGAUCUGCGAUGCAUUAGCUAGGUGGUAAGGUAACGGCUUACCAAGGCGAUGAUGCAUAGCGGGGUGGAGAGAAUGAUCGGCCACAUUGGGACUGAGACACGGCCCAAACUCCUACGGGAGGCAGCAGUGGGGAAUAUUCCACAAUGGACGAAAGUCUGAUGCAGCAACGCCGCGUGAGUGAAGAAGGUUUUCGGAUCGUAAAGCUCUGUUGUUGGGGAAGCGGUAAUCAAAGAGAAAGUCACGGCUAACUACGUGCCAGCAGCCGCGGUAAUUC
This 408-nucleotide ribosomal RNA is filed under the name uncultured bacterium. RNAcentral describes it as "partial 16S ribosomal RNA". It matches the Rfam family "Bacterial small subunit ribosomal RNA", at positions 28 to 526 of the family's 1533-position model. The record is from RNAcentral.